This 272-nucleotide long non-coding RNA is filed under the name Lathyrus oleraceus (garden pea). Its description in RNAcentral is "Pisum sativum (pea) long non-coding RNA (PSAT_LNC038173)". The record is from RNAcentral. Lineage: Eukaryota; Viridiplantae; Streptophyta; Magnoliopsida; Fabales; Fabaceae.
UUUUCAACUGAGUGCUCUUCCUUCGGUGACCGCUUCUUUCGAACCAUCGACUACAUUUCAUUUACUCAUUUUUUCUAUGGUUGUUUUUCUUCUGCUUAUUUUUUUCGCGCUCAUUUUCUUAUUUUUUUCCCAAAGAACCUACGCAAAGUCAGAGUGAUAAAGACAUACCUGAAUAUAGCUCAUGAUGACAAAUGUGUUUGGAUUUUUAUGCACUCACCAUGUUUGGUAAAGCUUGACAUCAUACAUAGUACUUCGAGUAUGGUGCGACUUCU